This 252-nucleotide ribosomal RNA is filed under the name uncultured bacterium. RNAcentral describes it as "partial 16S ribosomal RNA". It matches the Rfam family "Bacterial small subunit ribosomal RNA", at positions 524 to 776 of the family's 1533-position model. The record is from RNAcentral.
UACGGGGGGGCAAGCGUUGUUCGGAAUUACUGGGCGUAAAGGGCGCGUAGGCGGCCUGUUAAGUCGGACGUGAAAUCCCUCGGCUCAACCGGGGAACUGCGUCUGAUACUGGCGGGCUUGAAUUCGGGAGAGGGAUGUGGAAUUCCAGGUGUAGCGGUGAAAUGCGUAGAUAUCUGGAGGAACACCGGUGGCGAAGGCGGCAUCCUGGACCGACAUUGACGCUGAGGCGCGAAAGCCAGGGGAGCAAACGGG